GCAAGUCGAACGGUAACAGGAAGAAGCUUGCUUCUUUGCUGACGAGUGGCGGACGGGUGAGUAAUGUCUGGGAAACUGCCUGAUGGAGGGGGAUAACUACUGGAAACGGUAGCUAAUACCGCAUAACGUCGCAAGACCAAAGAGGGGGACCUUCGGGCCUCUUGCCAUCGGAUGUGCCCAGAUGGAAUUAGCUAGUAGGUGGGGUAACGGCUCACCUAGGCGACGAUCCCUAGCUGGUCUGAGAGGAUGACCAGCCACACUGGAACUGAGACACGGUCCAGACUCCUACGGGAGGCAGCAGUGGGGAAUAUUGCACAAUGGGCGCAAGCCUGAUGCAGCCAUGCCGCGUGUAUGAAGAAGGCCUUAGGGUUGUAAAGUACUUUCAGCGGGGAGGAAGGGAGUAAAGUUAAUACCUUUGCUCAUUGACGUUACCCGCAGAAGAAGCACCGGCUAACUCCGUGCCAGCAGCCGCGGUAAUACGGAGGGUGCAAGCGUUAAUCGGAAUUACUGGGCGUAAAGCGCACGCAGGCGGUUUGUUAAGUCAGAUGUGAAAUCCCCGGGCUCAACCUGGGAACUGCAUCUGAUACUGGCAAGCUUGAGUCUCGUAGAGGGGGGUAGAAUUCCAGGUGUAGCGGUGAAAUGCGUAGAGAUCUGGAGGAAUACCGGUGGCGAAGGCGG
This 678-nucleotide ribosomal RNA is filed under the name uncultured Pseudomonadota bacterium. Its description in RNAcentral is "bacterial SSU rRNA". It matches the Rfam family "Bacterial small subunit ribosomal RNA", at positions 57 to 724 of the family's 1533-position model. Lineage: Bacteria; Pseudomonadati; Pseudomonadota. The record is from RNAcentral.